GUGGGGAAUAUUGGGCAAUGGAGGAAACUCUGACCCAGCAACGCCGCGUGAAGGAUGAAGGUUUUCGGAUUGUAAACUUCUGUUGCGAGGGAUGAAGAAUGACGGUACCUCGUGAGGAAGCCCCGGCAAACUACGUGCCAGCAGCCGCGGUAAUACGUAGGGGGCAAGCGUUGUCCGGAAUGACUGGGCGUAAAGGGAGUGUAGGCGGCCUUUUAAGUUAUAUGUGAAAGCCCCCGGCUUAACCGAGGAACUGCAUAUAAAACUGGAGGGCUGGAGUGCAGGAGAGGUAAGCGGAAUUUCUAGUGUAGCGGUGGAAUGCGUAGAUAUUAGGAAGAACACCGGAGGCGAAGGCGGCUUACUGGACUGUAACUGACGCUGAGGCUCGAAAGCGUGGGGAGCAAACAGGA
RNAcentral lists this ribosomal RNA (407 nucleotides) under uncultured bacterium. RNAcentral describes it as "bacterial SSU rRNA". It matches the Rfam family "Bacterial small subunit ribosomal RNA", at positions 354 to 777 of the family's 1533-position model. The record is from RNAcentral.